RNAcentral lists this ribosomal RNA (305 nucleotides) under uncultured bacterium. Its description in RNAcentral is "partial 16S ribosomal RNA". It matches the Rfam family "Bacterial small subunit ribosomal RNA", at positions 508 to 808 of the family's 1533-position model. The record is from RNAcentral.
ACAGCAGUCGCCGCGGGAAUACGUAGGUCCCGAGCGUUGGCCGGAUUUAUUGGGCGUAAAGGGAGCGCAGGCGGUUUAGUAAGUCUGAAGUUAAAGGCAUUGGCUCAACCAAUGUAUGCUUUGGAAACUGUUAGACUUGAGUGCAGAAGGGGAGAGUGGAAUUCCAUGUGUAGCGGUGAAAUGCGUAGAUAUAUGGAGGAACACCGGUGGCGAAAGCGGCUCUCUGGUCUGUCGCUGACGCUGAGGCUCGAAAGCGUGGGUAGCGAACAGGAUUAGAUACCCCUGUAGUCCCUGUCUCUUAUACA